UUAACUAGGAAGUAAAUUCUAUAUAAAGAAUAAUGAUAAAAAAAAAAAAAAUUAUACUGUCACGUGCAUGGCAGCUUGAUCCGGGUAAGAUUGAGGACAGAACAGAUUGACGUAAUCAGCUUUCAUUCAGUUGCCCGUGUAACAACUCAUGAGCAGCAGGGCAGCGUCCUUGGUUGUCCGGAACUCAAAAUGUUAGCGGGCAGCGGAGGCUUGGGAGGCAGGGCAGAACUGGUGCAGACGAGUCAUAGGCGUUCUUGUGUCGCGUCUGCACGAGUUCCCUGCGUGAGUGUGUGACGUAAGGAGUUCCCCGGACCCCGGAUGAGAUGAACAGAUGAAGGAAAUAACAGAAUAUAAUAUAUUUCUCUUUCAAGGAGAAGCUACGCAUUUGUAUUUUUUCAGGACUGAUUCAACCUCUUAAUGUCCCGUCUCUUCUCACCGAAGUAUCUUAUUAAUUUAUGUAUUCAUUUAUUUAUUAUUUUGAUAUAGCAGCGCACUGCUUACUUCAGCAUUGUUUUCCACUUUUGCUCUUUGCUCUACAGUAUUUAGAAAACUCUCCUGCACAUCUGUAUCUCAGCUUUUUUCCUCCAAGUGAUUUGUAUAUGUACCUACGAGCAGUUCUUAAUUAGGUAAGUGUAAUUACUACUAUAGAGAAACAAAUGUUUACUAGCAUACUACUAGGCAUACCAUUGGCUGUACAGAGAGAAUAUAUAUGAAGCGUGGUUAUGCGUUCAUUUACAUAUAAUUAGACUUAAUUAGUCUGCUAAAGCGUUAGGGCAGAUUUGUGUGGUGGGGUGGCAGCGUGAUAUUGAUCGGCGGGCCUUUAUUGAGUCUGUGUGGAACAGAUAGUAAUAUUAAUUGUUAACGCCGUGCUAAGUGAUGAGCCAGGCUAGUACAGAUGAAUGAGUCAGGUUUGGAGCCAGCAGUCCGUCCCACGAGAGCGCAACAUGAGUAAACAUGAAGCAAAAAAUUAGCGACAUCACACCGUCAGUUGAACCUCCAAUCUUACCCCUUAUAUCGAUUUUUUGACGGCAUUCUUUACAAACUCUGUAUACCGUCUGAGGAAGAAACUGAUUCAUACAGGUAUCAAUUAACGAAAAAUCUAGAAAGUGUGUGUGUGUGUGUGUGUGUGUGUGUGUGUGUGUGUGUGUGUGUGUGUGUGUAGCCGGGCGGCCUUGUGUGGCUGGCAUACACCCUCCCUAGCACGGGGUCGGGCCCAUACUGACCAGUUUGCCUUGCGCUGCCUUGUUAUAGACGAGAGGAACUUUAGUAUCGAGACGCCCUCUAGGCUGCGGCGGAAAGGAGGGAAGGGAAAGGACGAUCGCUAAGUAGAAUCCAAUGCCUUAUUUGAACGGAUCCUCCUUCAUACACGACAAUAAAGAGGAUCAGAGCCUCCUCCCCAGCCGAGUCUCCGAGGGGCAAUAAUCAUUACGUUGAGUCUGCGUCCUUAUGUGUACUCGUAGCCGUUGGUCCUCGAAGUGUAAAUCUUUUAAGGAAAUAUCUAAGAGCAGAGGCGUAAAUGACCAUUGAAAACAUAAACAUGGGUACGAUGGCAUUGUUUUUCUGAUGCAGCCUCAAGUGGGGCCAAGAUAUUACAGUGGAUCCGGACUAACUUAGUACUCAUGGUGUUGACUGUACCUGUCCACUCUGUUGCCACCUCACCCCUGGACAGAAGGGCGGCAGUGCCGCAUAACCUACAUGCAUUGCUAAGUAUUGGAAGAUAUACAGCAUCGAUGAUCCAUCAUGAAAUUGAAAGCCAUCUAGGAAACCAAGCAGUCACAUAUAAAAACCUAUAAUUUUGGAAUAAUUAAGGCAAAGGAUUACAGUAUGAGCGAGAGAGAGAUGUUCCUAUUCCUAUUGACUGUCAACAUGGCAUCAAUGUGGAACAAGUACAGCCAACACCCUGAGCACCAAGCAAGGCUUGAUUCACUAUAGAAGUGUUGGUGUCUGUGACUAAAUUUGUAUAUGGUGCUAAUGAGAAGUUGGCAGAUGUCAGAGAAGAGGGACUGUGAAGCCUUGUCAAGCGUAUAAAAAGAUAAAUAAUUGGAUAUUCUUAUUUUUUAUGAACAAGCAUCAGAUACAAGUAAUUGGAUAGAUAGACCAGUAUGCUUUUUGCUGUUACCAAAGCUUCCAGUUCCUAUAUACGUACCUCUGUAGGCUGGAGAAUUCCCUGGCACAACUAAUUUUGCUCUAUUUUCUUUUUAAGUUUAUGGUCUUCAUAUGAGAAGGAAAUCUACUAUGAAAUUUUAAUAAAAAUUACCAGUUAUGCAAGAUGUGAUAUAUUUGAUUGUUUUCAUGCCGGGUACAAAUGAAGAAACUGAAUAAAAUUACAGAGGUUUGUUA
Molecule: long non-coding RNA, 2340 nt
Organism: Scylla paramamosain (green mud crab)
Lineage: Eukaryota; Metazoa; Arthropoda; Malacostraca; Decapoda; Portunidae
Exons: 2
Source: RefSeq, a predicted model, not a curated record